This 1927-nucleotide long non-coding RNA is filed under the name Daucus carota (carrot). Its description in RNAcentral is "long non-coding RNA (DCAR_LNC007313)". Lineage: Eukaryota; Viridiplantae; Streptophyta; Magnoliopsida; Apiales; Apiaceae. The record is from RNAcentral.
GUCUCGUCCAAAUCCUUUACGAGAAUAAGACAACACUAUAGUCACUAAACAAUAUAUAUCCACUUAUAUACCCUUUAAACUUAUCAGAUACCACGUAACACAUAAGCAUGCUUUGAUUCUACCAUAUAGUCAAGUCAUAUUCACAUAACAUAUUAUCAAUUAAAUAUCAUAUAAAUCUUAUCGAAAAUCCGACAUCGUCUCGUCUAUUUAUUAGACUAUCCACCUGUUAUCCUAUCUCAAUCAACAAUCAACCAACCAAAUCCAAUCACUAUAAUCCAUAUGCUUUUAUCCGACAUCUAUCAAGACACGACACUAUGUCAUUUAAUCAUUUAUCACAUGUAUGUAAUACUAGAACAACCAGAUAGUCCAUGCAAUCAUCAAUUAAUAGCAAUUAGAUCACAUAUAAUCAUAUUCUAUACAUUUAACAACAAUUAUUCACAUUCUAUACUCCACCAUAUUAUUAUGUCACAUUAAAAUAGACUUUAUAAGCUUUAAUCUCUUUUUCGUUUCACUCUAUUCUGAAUUACGAGUCAAAAGUUAUGAGCAAGACCGUUUUCUAACUCUCCUAUCGGUACAUAACAUAUCAAACAGAUAGCAGACAACAUUUUUCAUAUAAGGUUUCCCAUCCCAAUUGAUAUCAAAUCAAGUCUCAGGUUAAAAAUGAUUUUUCAGGAAUUUUCUGGAAUUUCUAGACAUUUUUCGGAAUUAAAACAGGUAAAAGAAUCCAUUCUUGAAUAAAUAAUCAAAUCCGAUUGCUCAAGAUCGGAUCCAAAAUCAUUUGAAAUCAAUUAACGAGCCUCAAACAUAUUUUAGAAAAAUAAUUCAAAGCUCGAAACUAUUUUCCAGAAUUUUUAAAUCAAAAGGAACAAUUAAAUCCAAUUAAUUAAUCAAUUAAAAUUAAUUAAUAAUUAACUAAAUUAAUUAAUCAAUUAAUAUUUAAAUUAAUUGACCAAUUAAAAUAAUUAAUUACUAAUUAAAAUUAAUUAAGAAACUAAUUUAGAUUUAUUUUUGAAUAAAGAAAUAAUUAAAAACUAUUUUUGGAAUUUAAAAUAAUUAAAUAAAACAAUUUUAGAAAAUUAAAUCAAAAGGUUUAUUUUGUAAACUUUUGAAAGUUUUCGGCCAGGGUUUAAAGUGUAACUUUCAAAAGUUCCAGGGGGUGUUUUGUAAGAUUCAAAACUAGGAUACAAAAACUUCACCAUCUUCAAAAGUUCGGGUACCAAACUGCACUUUGGCAGCGGCACCCCCCCACCGUCACCGUUAACUCGCCGGAAUCUGCGUUCCGGCCAUCCACUCAACGCCAAACUGUCCCGAACUCAAGCAUACGAUCCCCUAAAUCUUUUUAUGGCUUCAAUCUCAGCAAAUAAACGACCAAUUGGCCGGAAAAAUCAAGAAAAGUUCUGCCGCCGGCAGAACUCUCUUUUCUCCGAUGAACGCAUAAUCGGACUCCUUCACUAAAACCAACACCACCACCGGAUUCCUCUCCUCACACAAAUUUCAAUUAAAAAGCUUCAAAAACAUUCAAGAACACAACUCCGAGAAUUAAACCCACGUUUCUAUAUGUUAUCGAAGUCAAAAUUCGACAUAUAAUAUAUGAAAACGAAUGGCAGGAGAUGCUCUACAACAUGGAAUCAUCAAACAACACAACAAAGAUCAUCUACGAAAAAUCAUUAUUUAAAAUCAUUUAAUUCGAAUUUUGUAAAAAUCUCAUAAAAUCACCUGAUGAUUCUGCACUGAAACGGAUGAUUGUAUUAGAUUCUACGCGUCGAGAGCUUCGUUUUGACUAUUUAUACGCCUCCAUCGGAUUCCGAUAACGCCUUCAAAUCCUCGUUUGAAUAUGAAGAACACGAAGAACACCCGUUCGUCUUCUCUCGGUAUUCGUGCAGAGAAACGGACGAAAUGAUUGUACGUGCGAAAUAAACUGGUAAAG